Molecule: ribosomal RNA, 253 nt
Filed under: uncultured bacterium
Lineage: Bacteria
Description: partial 16S ribosomal RNA
Rfam family: Bacterial small subunit ribosomal RNA
Source: RNAcentral
UACGGAGGGUGCAAGCGUUAUCCGGAUUCACUGGGUUUAAAGGGUGUGUAGGCGGAUUUUUAAGUCAGUGGUGAAAUCUCCGGGCUCAACCCGGAAACUGCCAUUGAUACUAUUAGUCUUGAAUUCUGUUGAGGUGGACGGACUACAUCAUGUAGCGGUGAAAUGCUUAGAUAUGAUGUAGAACACCGAUUGCGAAGGCAGCUCACUAAGCAGACAUUGACGCUGAGGCACGAAAGCGUGGGGAUCAAACAGG